Eutrema salsugineum is the source of this 102-nucleotide small nucleolar RNA. It matches the Rfam family "Plant small nucleolar RNA R71". Rfam says of the family: R71 is a member of the C/D box family of snoRNAs containing the C (UGAUGA) and D (CUGA) box motifs. Multiple nearly identical copies of this snoRNA have been identified in Arabidopsis, and it is thought to function as a 2'-O-ribose methylation guide for 18S ribosomal RNA. The record is from Rfam. NCBI's taxonomy places the organism in Eukaryota, Viridiplantae, Streptophyta, Magnoliopsida, Brassicales, Brassicaceae.
AUCUUGGGGAGGGCACCUCGGUAUAGCUUCUGAACCGUUCCCAAGCUUCACUAAAGCUCUUGUUGGUGUGUUGUGUGAAGCUGGAGAUCUGAUUUCUCAGCU